AGCGGGAUAGAGAAGAGGCAUCUCGUAAGGCUCAUAACCUUAAGACGGCCGUUCGAUUCGGCCUCCCGCAACAA
Molecule: transfer RNA, 74 nt
Filed under: Candidatus Colwellbacteria bacterium RIFCSPLOWO2_12_FULL_44_13
Lineage: Bacteria; Candidatus Colwelliibacteriota
Also listed under: 9 other names
Description: tRNA-Met
Rfam family: tRNA
About the family: Transfer RNA (tRNA) molecules are approximately 80 nucleotides in length. Their secondary structure includes four short double-helical elements and three loops (D, anti-codon, and T loops).
Source: RNAcentral